UUCGCUCAUUUUAAAGGUGGGCACCUUAGACUUUUUAGCCGCACAUGCAAGAAAUCAAGAUAUUUUUGCUUGCUUAGUUUUUCCGGUCAAUUUUUUCAUCUCACUUCAAUUUAUUUUCUCAACCUUAUAAAACUUGUGGGUGGAAGAUGGCAGCUCUUUUAUUUGUUUUGGCUCAGUUUGGAAGCUUCAUACCGAUUAGAAACUAUGCAAAUUGGGUAAGUUUUUCUACAUCUAAUACAUCUACAUAGUUCAGAGUAACUAAUUUUGAUUUUGUCAAUAGCUAAAAAGACAGAACAUGCCAUAAUUUUCCACUGUGUUAUAGUUUCAUAUCUAAGAUUUAGAUACAGGAUAACUUCGACAUUUUUCUUAGUGUUCUGUGAAAUUUGAAACUGAUUGGAUGAUAUACGAGUUUCUCGCUAAGUUUAUGAAUAAAUUAUAUUUUCCAGGUUGUAAAGGGGUGGUAGAAAAAUAUUGUCAUAAUUUGUUGUGACCUGAAAAUUGAGUAUGGUAUAGGUCAUAACUCAUUUCUGUUUCUGUCCAGGUUGCUACAGCUGUUCUUCAAAACUAUAAGGACAAUACAAGAUUGCAUCUAAUAUAUGCUAAUUUUCCACAUGAGGACAUUCUUUUGAGGUAAUUUAACGUAAUUUUAUCUUCCAUGCCAUUUGAUUGGAGAAUAUUGCUGAUUGUUAAGUAAGAACAAGAUAUAAAAUGAUAAAAGGUAAUGUUACAGAAAAAGUUGAACUUCUAUCAAACAUCUUUAUGAGCUGAGUUGUAUAGAAUAUGAAGAAUUAUUUGUCUUAAGAAGUUACUAUAUUUAGCACAUGAUCAUAAAAAGAUUUCCAAGAAAACCUAUAUUAGUCUUCUUUGAAUGUAGCGCAGUCGCUUAACAUAUAAAUUGCAAGAGUUAUAACUCAAAUAUGUUUGCAAAUAAUAGAAAAAUAACAGUCCAAUUCUAGGAACAAGACGUAUCGGUUGAAUUCAAAGUUCAGAUAUCAUUUGUCUGCAAGGAUUGAGACUCAAGCCCAAAACUAUCAGCAGACAAUCCCAUAAUUAUUAGUCCACUUGAGAUAUUUCAAGUGCAAAAAUCAACUGUGUUGGCCAGUCCAACAUUGCAUAUCAUUCUCCAAUUUACAUGAUCAUGCAUUUCAUAGACUGCAGUAGCUAAUUAUCUUUUGCCCACCAUAUUUGUGGUUUAUACCAUACUAAUGUUUGAUUGUUCCGCACUAACUUAUAAUUAUUUGGAAUAGCGGUAGUAAGUUACUAUCUAAAACAAUAUGAAACAGAUGUUGUUAUUUGUGAAAUUGAGGAAUUAUGCUUAUUAGAUAAAAGUUGCAUAUGCAUUUGUUUUUUUUGCAAUAAAAAUAUUUGGCAUACAUGUCCAAACAGGAAGUGGUAUGCGUAUAAAUGAAUAAUGUUCUCUUUGUUUGGCCAACAAGAUGAGGUGGUUUCAUUUGUUCUUAAUGUUCUUUUUAGAUUUUAAUAUCUGUCUUUUUUCUCUUUUGCUUAAAUGAGCUUAACAAAAGCAUGGUUAUGUUGUUUCAGUUUCUUCACAGUUUAGUAUCUUCCUCCACAGGGAGAUAUUCCAAAAAGAUGGCUUAUAACCUCGAAGGACAUUCAAAAGGGAUGUUUUUCCCAGUGAAGUAUGUCCGUAGGCCUUUUUGUGGAAGCAAGUUGAAUAAUGAGAGUAAGAUAAACAUUGGACUAUGUUGCAAAUACAUGUGUCAUAAUUUUUUGGAUUCUUAAUUGGAUGUAUUUAGUAAGACGUGUUGAUACGUUAUCAAUAUAAAUAUUUGAUCAGAUUAAUAUUAAGAAACAAAGAUGAAAUUGUUUUCCCAAUAAACCUUUUUAUGCAGUUU
RNAcentral lists this long non-coding RNA (1856 nucleotides) under Nicotiana tabacum (common tobacco). RNAcentral's name for it is "long non-coding RNA (NTAB_LNC004571)". Lineage: Eukaryota; Viridiplantae; Streptophyta; Magnoliopsida; Solanales; Solanaceae. The record is from RNAcentral.